CUUAACUCCAUCUCAAAAGAGAUCAAUUAUAUUUUGCUUUUCAAUGAUACCCACUCAGGCAACAAGUUGCUUUGACUAGUAGCUCAUGACUGCUGGGAAUUCCACUCUAGAAGAAAAUACCCUCUAUUGCCAGCUGAACGUCUUUAUCGAUAAACUGCAUAUAUUUUCAAAUUAUAGUGCGAUAUUUAUACAGAGACUAAAAUGUAAAUCGUUCACUUGUAAGAUUAAUAUAUAAAUAAUAUUUACCAAAACUGCUUUGAGAAAUGUGGCUUAAUGACUCAAAUUCAGUAAAAGAUUAGUCUCUUAAGAACAUUUCUUUCACACUAAUAGGAGAGAAUCCAAACAUUCUGUGAAUAGAAAGUCCCACAUUUCUUGGUGUGUCCUGGGGAGUCUAAUAUUCUAUACUUAGAUCUGGAGAAGUGGUCCAUGAAGGAGCUCAUGGCUGAGCCCGGCACGUAAAGCUCGAGGAACCCCAGUGCAGGGAGGGGCUCCCUGCACCCAGUGGCUUCACUGAUGGUCGGGUGGGGGUGGGGGUGGGCAGGGCCACCUGGCAGCUGGGAGGCCCGCCUGGAGAGGGGGGUUCAGCGGUGCUCUGAGGCCCAGGCCCAGGCCCACCUGGAGAGGGGGGUUCAGCGGUGCUCUGAGGCCCAGGCCCAGGCCUGGAGAGGGGAGUUCAAUGGUGCUCUGAGGCCCAGGCCCAGGCUCACCUGGAGAGGGGGUUUCAGCGGUGCUCUGAGGCCCAGGCCCAGGCCUGGAGAGCGGAGUUCAGCGGUGCUCUGAGGUCCAGGCCCAGGCCCACCUGGAGAGGGGGGUUCAGCAGUGCUCUGAGGCCCAGGCCCAGGCCCACCUGGAGAGGGGGUUCAGUGGUGCUCUGAGGCCCAGGCCCAGGCCUGGAGAGGGGGGUUCAGCGGUGCUCUGAGGCCCAGGCUCAGGCCCACCUGGAGAGGGGGGUUCAGUGGUGCUCUGAAGCCCAGGCCCAGGCCUGGAGAGCGGAGUUCAGUGGUGCUCUGAGGCCCAGGCCCAGGCCUGGAGAGCGGAGUUCAGCAGUGCUCUGAGGUACAGGCCCAGGCCCACCUGGAGAGGGGGGUUCAGCAGUGCUCUGAGGGCCAGGCCCAGGCCCACCUGGAGAGGGGGGUUCUGCAGUGCUCUGAGGCCCAGGCCCAGGCCCAUCUGGAGAGGGGGGUUCAGCAGUGCUCUGAGGCCCAGGCCCAGGCCCAUCUGGAGAGGGGUGUUCAGCGGUGCUCUGAGGCCCAGGCCCAGGCCUGGAGAGGGGGGUUCAGCAGUGCUCUGAGGCCCAAGCCCAGGCCUGGAGAGGGGGGUUCAGCGGUGCUCUGAGGCCCAGGCCCAGGCCCACCUGGAGAGGGGGGUUCAGUGGUGCUCUGAGGCCCAGGCCCAGGCCUGGAGAGGGGGGUUCAGUGGUGCUCUG
Molecule: long non-coding RNA, 1426 nt
Filed under: Canis lupus familiaris (dog)
Lineage: Eukaryota; Metazoa; Chordata; Mammalia; Carnivora; Canidae
Description: lncRNA (ENSCAFG00845019916.1)
Source: RNAcentral